RNAcentral lists this long non-coding RNA (218 nucleotides) under Malus domestica (apple). RNAcentral's name for it is "long non-coding RNA (MDOM_LNC015156)". The record is from RNAcentral. Lineage: Eukaryota; Viridiplantae; Streptophyta; Magnoliopsida; Rosales; Rosaceae.
AACCUCUGAUGAUCAAGUAAAAUCUGACCAUCAGAUUCCUACAUCUGGUCAAUUUUCCUCUUCAUGUUUGUGGCAUAGUUGUGUGCGAGCUUGUGCAACUAUUUAUUCUCAUGCUUGAGCCCUCUAAUCUCCUGUUUGAGACUCAUCACUUCAGCCGCCAAUGAUUCAACUUGACGGGUUCGAGCAAAUAAGCGUUGGGCCAUAUUGGACACAGAACC